Molecule: ribosomal RNA, 253 nt
Filed under: uncultured bacterium
Lineage: Bacteria
Description: partial 16S ribosomal RNA
Rfam family: Bacterial small subunit ribosomal RNA
Source: RNAcentral
GACAGAGGUGCCAAGCGUUAUGCGGAAUCACUGGGCUUAAAGCGUGUGUAGGCGGCUCGUUAAGUCCCUUGUGAAAUCCCACGGCUUAACCGUGGAACUGCUCGGUAUACUGGCGGUCUUGAGCAACCUAGGGGCGAGCGGAACAAAUGGUGGAGCGGUGAAAUGCGUAGAUAUCAUUUGGAACGCCAAUGGUGAAAACAGCUCGCUGGGGGUUUGCUGACGCUGAGACACGAAAGCCAGGGGAGCAAACGGG